AUCGUAUUGUGUUUGACAUUGGUGCCUAAAGUGCGUGGUUCUGGGCAAAUACAUUGCCGGCUUAUAACUUACUAAGGUGUGAUAUUCCACAACUCCAUCUUAUCACCUCUACAAUAGACCAACAAUAUGAAAUUCAAAUUUCCACCUAAGUAUAAAAUAUAUGAUUACUUGAUGUAUACGGGGAAUAGCAUUUUGUUUGGAGGGACAGUGUUCCUGGCCGGACUCACCGUUUAUCAUAUAUUUCGUUAUAAAACAGUACGGGUCCCAGAGAUAGAGGAGGAAGUCCGACUAUAUAAGGAAGCUCAGUUAAUGAAGGAACAAGUGGAAAGAGAAUCUAUGCUGAUGAGGGACAAACAACCAAAAAACUGACAUUUUCCUGUAGCUACUUCUGAUAAAUUUUGAUAUUUUCUGACAUGAAAAAUUACCUGUAUUCAGUUUAAUUGUGUUGGGAAUAUUUCAAAUAUUUAUCAAAGUUUAAAAGUUGACAUUAGUGGAGAGUGAUGUGAGUGAAUGCAAAAAUGUGUGUUUUAUUGAAUGGUGAAUACUGAAUAUGUAUAGUCCCUAAAUGCAGAGUACAGGUUUAUAGUUAAACUGCAUGAGUAACCUCCCUUAUGAAAAAGCACCUUAAUUGUUUUUCAGGUAAAUAGUGGAAAAGAAAAUUAAAUAGGAAUGAAAUCCUUAACUUGAUGAAAUAAAAAGUUACAAUAUGUCUAAAUUUUACAAAAUUACCUGACAACUUAUUUUGUAAUCGAUCCAUGAGUAGUAAACCCUUCAGAGGGAAAACAACUCGUACAAGUUGAAUAUUUCUGUCCUCUGCAUAUUGGGAAUACAGUAAAACCUGUGUCAGCUGAACAACACUGCCACCGAGUAUGUAAUUCAGAAUCCGCAGGUGAAUGAACAAUUCAGGUUUAAGUUAUUGGAAGUUUGAAGGUCCAGUUAACACAAGUUUACAAGUGGAGGUCCAGACAGGGACUAGACUGUCUGGUGUAUGAAUUUGUGUACAUUUAUCUGUUUUGACAUUAUGUUCUGAACUUUAUUGAGAAUUGUGUAUAUUUAAGAAAGAGCCAUCUUUGUCAUGUAAUAUAGUGAUUUUCAAUAACCCUUUCACCACUGUAGACCAUAAUGGACUCACCCAGAAAAAAAUGUAUGGUAGAGUCUACUAAAGUUACCUAGGGGUGAAAGGGUUAACGCUGGACUUGAGGUAAAAUGGCUGACCACUGUACGAUCAUUCUGCUUCACCUCAUUUCCAGCUUUGUGAAAAUCGCACUUAGAAUUGUUAAUUAUCACCAUCCUUUGAUGUAACUUCCAUGGACGACAUCAAUCUGACAAAAAAUUAAAAUAACGUUACAUGAUAAUUUGUAUUUUAGCAUAAAGGAGAAGGUACAUUUUUUUCAUGGAUUUAUGUAUUACUGUAAAAAUACUUAUAUUAUCGAACAUAACUCGCAUUUCCAUGCAAUGUUGACAGUUUUCAAGUUACAUGUAUCUUGAUUUACAAGAGCUCUGUAUAAAAUGCAGUGAUUUUCUAUACAGCCAUUGAGUUUUGUAGUUUUAAGUGUGAAAAGUGCUGAAAUGAGAUCACCACUAAAAUAAGGAUAUUUACAGUAACCAAUUUCUACCGUAAUUAAAUCAUGUUCAUCACAAAUUCUGCUACAGAAUACUUCCUGUAUAUAUCUAUGUAACACAGACAUCAUUAUGUGAAUCAUAUGAAGAAGUUAUUAAAUGUGAUAUUUGA
This is a long non-coding RNA of Mizuhopecten yessoensis (Yesso scallop), 1732 nucleotides long. RefSeq lists it as uncharacterized. The record is from RefSeq and is a predicted model, not a curated record. NCBI's taxonomy places the organism in Eukaryota, Metazoa, Mollusca, Bivalvia, Pectinida, Pectinidae. The transcript has 3 exons.